Protopterus annectens (West African lungfish) is the source of this 1727-nucleotide long non-coding RNA. RefSeq lists it as uncharacterized. Lineage: Eukaryota; Metazoa; Chordata; Ceratodontiformes; Protopteridae. The transcript has 3 exons. The record is from RefSeq and is a predicted model, not a curated record.
UCUUAAAAAAAAAAAAAAAAAAAAAAGAAACGAUCCUUUGAACUAUGUUUUUUUUUUUGCGUUUCUGCAGUCAGGAGAAUACUCAUCGCUCGCUCCAUGGGUAAAGGAGCGUUCCAACAGCUUGAAUAAGCAUAGGGGGACCAUUAAAACCAGCUGGAUAUCCCAGAAGUGUCACACUUUUAAAGUACCUGGCGUAGAGCAUGGAAAGAUAUUUUAGUUCCUGUCGUGGGAAAAUGGAAAGGCAGAAGUAGGUCUAGCUUUCCUCGGUCGGUCUCGUGGCUUUUGUUAUGAGACAACAGCACUACCAACAUAUUGGUAUAGGUCUAAAAAGGUCCAACAAUACAGCAGAAGGCAAAAAACAGUCUUGGAGGGCCGAAAAGUGAUCGAUCGUUCAUCCAAUGUUCAGACAUCACUCCGGUGAUGCAGAAGACCCACUUCAGCCAUGUCUGUCGACUCCAAUAUGUAAUCCUGUGGGAGCUGCCAAAUGUCUGGCCUGCUGAAAGCCUGCUUCUGUUGCCUGAGGGUGCUUGUCAAUAUGACCCUGCUGCUGCAUGCAUGAGAUUUACAACAUGUUACAUUCUGCAUGAAAUUAUCAUUCACCGAUCUGGUGGUUAAUUGUUCCAAAAUGAUAAUGCAGCUACCUCCAGAGGGACUGCCACAAGUGCCAAUAGUGUAUGUGACCAGCUGGCAACAUUGGUAUGGGACCGUAUACAGCAGGCUUGUGCACAGUACAUAACUGUGCAGGCAAACAGAUGGCAUAUAGUCCAGAACAUUGGACCAAGACAUUCAGGUCCAGGAAUCCCAGGAUCAGCUAGACCACAAGCCUUCCAGGUCAGAAAAUAUUCCCCACCUUCCUCUGUCAUUUGGAGGAAAUCAUCACAGGAUCGUGGUGGUGGCUUUGGCCCUGUAGGUCCUUUAGUGUGACCAAGCAUAAAAAGUAGCGUUGAGAAUGAGCUUCAAGACCUGGUCAACGAUGUGUUUGAGCAGGCAGUAGAGAAACACUUUCAGCCCUCAAAGUACCUCUCUUCAGUGAAUGGAAGACUAGCUGCCCUGGUCAACUCUGACCACUGAGCCACCAAUGGCCUCCUCACACCAAUGUCAUCUGGGUCUUCCACUCUAAGUCCAUCAGGCAGUAGAAACAUUUGAGGCCCUUUGAACCAAGGUGAGAACUACUCCAACACUUCCGCAUCUCCCUUCUUCCCUAUUUCUUUCACCAACUUCUCUCUUUUUUUUUUUUUUUCUUUUUUUUAAUACAUGCCAAGUAACUGCUCUAAGUGCUGUUUGCCUUAUUUGUUCACUAUUAGUUAAUUUGGGCUUUUGCAGUCCUGCACUCAUCCCCAACUUCCAAAUAUAGACGAGCUUAAUCUAGACUUUACACAUUAACGGAUGAAUUCACACACAAUUAAAACAUUUUUAUCCAUUUUGUGGACUUGUAAAAAGUGGAUGUUUCUUCAUGCAAGCUUUCACUUUGCCUUAGUCACCUUAGUGAGAUAGCACUCCAUAUAUUUGCAUAACGGCAUAGCUGCACUCUGCUCAGAUAUGCGUUGCACAGCUGUGAACCAUGAGAUUAUGAAUAUCACCUAUAAGUACAAACAGGUGACCAUAUAAUGCUCAUUCUGUUAGUCCCAACAUUCAUGUAAACCUCCCAUGCCAUGAUGAGAAUCUGUAUGUCCAAGACUUGAUGUUUAAAGAUGACAGAGUUCUUGUACUUAACUUUUAUAAAUUAA